AGACAGAGGGUGCAAACGUUGCUCGGAAUCACUGGGCAUAAAGCGCACGUAGGCGGGAGUGCAAGUCGGGUGUGAAAUCCCUCGGCCUAACCGAGGAACUGCGCCCGAAACUGCAUUUCUUGAGGACAGAAGGGGAGCGUGGAAUUCCUGGUGGAGCGGUGAAAUGCGUUGAUAUCAGGAGGAACGCCGGCGGCGAAGGCGACGCUCUGGUCUGUUUCUGACGCUAAGGUGCGAAAGCCAGGGGAGCAAACGGGAUUAGAAACCCCAGUAGUCC
Molecule: ribosomal RNA, 274 nt
Filed under: uncultured bacterium
Lineage: Bacteria
Description: partial 16S ribosomal RNA
Rfam family: Bacterial small subunit ribosomal RNA
Source: RNAcentral